UUCUUCUUUUUUGAGAUAUUUAUUCUUAAAAAUGACUCGGGAUCUUGGAAUUGCUUCACAUGUGUCAGCUCUGACGUGGGCUUUUCUUUCAACCGCCUCCCACGUAGCAGUAGAGAAUUCAUGCAGCUGUGUGGUAUGCCAUCAACGCUCUACGGUGAUCCUACUAGUUUAAAGCUUUGUCACAGAGAAAUCAAAAGCUGCAAUGACUUUUCAAUAUAUUGAUAUGGAUAAUAAUUGCAUAGGAUAAUAGCCAUGCUGUACAAUACACAUAAUUAUAAAAUAAUAUGUUAGAAUGAUUAGUACAGAUUUCCUAAAGUAGGUUUAUACAGUUUUUCAUUAUUGUCAACAUUUAAGUGCAUCAUAUAAUAUGAAUAGUCUUUAUAUUAAUGGUGAUCUGAUACAUAGUUAUAGUGAUUCAAUACAUACAGUACAUACAUACAGUAAAGUAAAUCUUAAUCAAAUUUAGAGGGACAUUGCAAAGCCCUUAAAAUGUAAUAGAUAUUGUCAGAUAAAAUGAAUAAAUGGUAUGCAGCGGAAUGAUAAAACUGUACACACCUGUCAUACCAGAUUAUGGUGAUAUUUUCUUUUACAUUGCUGAGUUUUGUUUUUCCUCUAGAACACACAGUACAGAUUAUUUACAUGAAGCCACUCUCAGAGAAAAGAACCGAGAAAAAAAAAGCCAUUUCUGUGUCAAACAGAAGGUCAACAUCUUGCAUGCAUUACUUUAGAAUUAGUAAAAAUGUAAAAUUAGUGGAUAAGAGGGAAAAAAUCUGAAACGUCAACAACUGCAUGCAGCAACAAUGGUUAUAAUGUUAACAAUUCCAUAAUGAUUUGAGUACCUCCUGACCUCACACCCUCACACAAUAAAAUCAUAAGGCAUGCCUCAUCUAAUUCCUCCACAACCAUACUUUUAACGGCAGAUACAUCCUAUUAACAACUGGUAUGAAGUCCCUUCUUGUUUACCUUCAUAUGGUCAAUACAUGUGUAAUGAGACCUGGAAACAAAAAGAAAAUUCAGCUCAUUAACCCAGUUUGACAGUAGGCUCACGACAUGUAGGUUAUUCUGGAGCUCAAGAGCUUUCAGUGACAGUUUCAUAUAGCAGAUCAUCUUGUGCUUGUGGCCACAGGGUUGUAAUACAUAUUUAUUGUCGGGCUUCUUCUUAAUAAUU
Long non-coding RNA from Amphiprion ocellaris (clown anemonefish), 1168 nucleotides. NCBI's taxonomy places the organism in Eukaryota, Metazoa, Chordata, Actinopteri, Pomacentridae. The record is from Ensembl.